Molecule: non-coding RNA, 73 nt
Organism: Bos taurus (domestic cattle)
Lineage: Eukaryota; Metazoa; Chordata; Mammalia; Artiodactyla; Bovidae
Source: Rfam
UCGCUGGUGGUCCAUUUGUUAGGACUCCGUGCUUUCACUGCCAAGGGCCCAGGUUCAAUCCCUGGUUGGGGAA